AGGGUUCGAUUCUGGCUCAGGACGAACGCUGGCGGCGUGCUUAACACAUGCAAGUCGAACGAGGAUAUUCCUUCGGGGGAUAUUCGAGUGGCGGACGGGUGAGUAACGCGUGAACAAUCUGUCCUUCAAAGGGGGAUACCAACUGGAAACAGUUGCUAAUACCGCAUAAGACCACAGUGUCGCAUGGCACAGAGGUAAAAGACGGAAGUCGAUGGAGGGUGAGUUCGCGUCUGAUUAGGCAGUUGGCGGGGUAAAGGCCCACCAAACCGACGAUCAGUAGCCGACCUGAGAGGGUGACCGGCCACAUUGGGACUGAGACACGGCCCAGACUCCUACGGGAGGCAGCAGUGGGGAAUAUUGGGCAAAUGGGCGAAAGCCUGACCCAGCAACGCCGCGUGAGGGAAGAAGGUUUUCGGAUUGUAAACCUCUGUCCUAAAGGACGAAGGAAGUGACGGUACUUUAGGAGGAAGCCCCGGCUAACUACGUGCCAGCCGCAGC
This 498-nucleotide ribosomal RNA is filed under the name uncultured bacterium. RNAcentral describes it as "bacterial SSU rRNA". It matches the Rfam family "Bacterial small subunit ribosomal RNA", at positions 8 to 518 of the family's 1533-position model. The record is from RNAcentral.